GAGAAAAUGGCGGCGGAGCCGAACAAGACCGAAAUCCAGACUCUUUUUAAGAGGCUUCGCGCAGUUCCAACCAACAAGGCCUGUUUCGACUGCGGCGCCAAGAAUCCGAGUUGGGCCAGCAUCACGUACGGUGUUUUCUUGUGCAUUGACUGUUCCGGGGUGCACCGCUCCCUGGGCGUCCAUCUGAGCUUCAUCAGGUCCACAGAGUUGGAUUCCAACUGGAACUGGUUCCAGCUGAGGUGUAUGCAGGUCGGCGGGAAUGCCAAUGCGACGGCUUUUUUUCGCCAACAUGGAUGCACAGCCAAUGAUGCCAACACCAAAUAUAAUAGCCGAGCUGCCCAGAUGUACCGGGAGAAGAUCCGGCAGCUGGGGAGUGCGGCCCUGGCUAGGCAUGGCACUGAUCUUUGGAUAGACAACAUGAGUAGUGCCGUUCCUAAUCACUCCCCAGAGAAGAAGGACUCUGAUUUCUUCACAGAACACACUCAACCCCCUGCCUGGGAUGCGCCAGCCACUGAGCCUUCAGGGACCCAGCAGCCAGCCCCGUCUACAGAGAGCAGUGGCCUGGCACAGCCGGAGCAUGGCCCAAACACAGACCUGCUUGGCACCUCACCCAAAGCCUCACUGGAACUGAAAAGCUCCAUCAUUGGCAAGAAGAAGCCAGCAGCAGCUAAGAAAGGGCUGGGUGCCAAGAAAGGCCUAGGGGCCCAGAAGGUGAGCAGCCAGAGCUUCAGUGAGAUUGAGCGGCAGGCUCAGGUGGCAGAGAAGCUCCGUGAGCAGCAGGCAGCCGAUGCCAAGAAGCAGGCGGAGGAGUCCAUGGUCGCCUCCAUGCGUCUGGCCUACCAGGAGCUCCAGAUUGAUCGUAAGAAAGAGGAAAAGAAGCUACAGAAUCUGGAAGGGAAGAAGCGAGAGCAGGCAGAAAGGUUGGGCAUGGGCUUGGUAUCCCGAAGCUCUGUCUCCCACUCCGUGCUGUCUGAGAUGCAGGUGAUUGAGCAGGAAACCCCAGUGAGUGCAAAAUCCUCUCGCUCGCAGCUGGACUUGUUUGACGAUGUUGGUACUUUCGCCUCUGGACCCCCAAAGUAAGGCUGUUUUCUAGCUGUAAACUUGGCUGCUGUGUUCCUCAUCAGGCUUCUCUGAGCCACUCUACUGUCUCCCUAGGUACAAGGACAAUCCCUUUUCCUUAGGGGAAAGCUUUGGCUCCCGCUGGGAUACAGAUGCUGCCUGGGAGCCACAAACCGGAGGGAAGUGGAGAGCCGGAGCUCAGGCCUCGAGUCUAGUGAGGCGCGUCAGAAAUUCGCAGGAGCCAAAGCCAUCUCAUCUGACAUGUUCUUUGGGCGGGAGGUGGAUGCGGAGUAUGAGGCCAGGUCUCGGCUGCAGCAGCUCUCAGGCAGCAGUGCCAUCAGCUCUUCAGACCUCUUUGGGGACAUGGAUGGAGCUCAGGGAGCAGGAAGUGUAUCUCUGGGGAACGUGCUGCCUACAGCGGACAUUGCCCAGUUUAAGCAGGGUGUCAAGUCUGUGGCUGGGAAAAUGGCUGUGCUGGCCAAUGGUGUGAUGAAUUCCUUGCAGGAUCGCUACGGUUCCUACUGAUCCGAGCUCUGUGACUCAGGCUUACGAUGGUGACGGCAACAAGAACUCCACAGUUCCCAGGCUGGGGAUGCUUUGCCUUGUGGAAGCUGGGGAGGAUUUGUUACUUUGUAUGUGUGGUGUGUGUGUGGGGUGGCCUUUGAGGCGCUCACUCCUGUGAGGGGAAUGGUCAGUACCAGCCCUUGUCCUCUGCCUGUGGACUGAGCUCUUUAUUCCCUCUCACACCACCCUCCGUGUGUUAGACUCUUGUCCUUCUGUCCUGCCCCCACA
RNAcentral lists this small RNA (1851 nucleotides) under Pan troglodytes (chimpanzee). Its description in RNAcentral is "processed transcript". The record is from RNAcentral. Lineage: Eukaryota; Metazoa; Chordata; Mammalia; Primates; Hominidae.